GGCAGGUGCAACAUUGUAAAUGUCAGAAGAAAGAAGAAGUAGUGAGUAGGAAGCUCCUGCAGGAGGAGAGGCCAGGGAAGAUAAAGGGCUUGGAUUUUGAUCAUGACAGUGAAAUUAGAAGGGAGACUCUGAGAAGGGGUUAGAAACUUUGAGAUGUUGAAUGUCAGUUGUCCAAAUCAAAUUCAGCCAAAAUAACAACAGCCAAA
This 206-nucleotide long non-coding RNA is filed under the name Mustela putorius furo (domestic ferret). RNAcentral's name for it is "lncRNA (ENSMPUG00000024140.1)". Lineage: Eukaryota; Metazoa; Chordata; Mammalia; Carnivora; Mustelidae. The record is from RNAcentral.